CAGAACAUAUUGGUUCCAGUGUCGUCCAGAGAGGUAGAGCAACAUAACCCAAUAAUGUAAUAUACUGUGGCUGAGAACAGCUCAGCCCAAUAUGGCCUACAGAACAGGCAGAGCUGUUUGGGGUUGUUUGCAGAACUCCCCUGGCUGUGCUCAACUCUAGGUGCUGUUCUCUAAACAGAACUACUGAACUGACAACAGAGCUGGGAUAGAAUGGCUAGAAGAGUCAUGGAGGAGGAAUGAGUUCUGGUUCCAGACAGUCUAACCCUGCCUAUUUAUUGCGAGAUUCUGUGAUUGCCACUUUGUCCCCACAUCCACUGUCAUCCUCCAUUUCCCCCACCUCCUUCCCCCAUUUCAGUGACUCAGCUGAUGGCAGUUUCUUGUAAGUAUCUGCAUAAAAUCACUUCAAUGAACUGAUGAUGAAAUUCACACCUCAAGAUAAGGAAAUUUAAACAGCUAAACAGAAUUCCACAGUUGUGGUAAGGUUGGGUUAGUUAGCAUCAGAGGUUGGAUCUCAUUAAGAUUUUUGUGAGAUCCCAUAUGAAAAAAAUACUACAGUUUACUAUAGAAUAUUACAAUGUUGUAAUAUACUGUAGCAUACUAUAGUAAAUACUACAGUAAUGUCCACAAAAACACUACAGUCAGCAAAAACACUCCAGCAAAUACUACAGUAUAUUACAAUUCGCAAAAACACUACAUUAAUUACUUUUGUAUAUACUACAGUUAUUUUACUACAGUAUUUAUACUAUAGUUAACUGUAAAUACUACAGUAUACUACCGUAAAUAUUACAGUAUUCUGCAAAAAAACUACAGCGAAUACUUAAGCAAAUAUGGCUAAUAUACCACGGCUAAGGGCUGUUCUUAUGUACGACGCAUCGAAGAGUGCCUGGAUACAGCCCUUAGCUGUGGUAUAUUGGCCAUAUACCACAAACCCCUGAGGUACCUUAUUGCUAUUAUAAACUGGUAACCAACGUAAUUAGAACAGUACAAAGUACUGUUUUGUCAUACCAGUGUUAGACAGUCUGUUAUACCACGUCUUUCAGACAAUCAGCGUUCAGGGCUCGAAGCACCUGGUUUAUAAUAUAGUAUUUAUACAAUAGUAUACUAUAGUAUUUUUUCAUGUGGGCAUCAAUAACUAAUAAUUAACAUUUGUUUAUAUAACUGUCUGGCGUUCUAAAAGGUUUGGUUAGGUUGACAAAAUGAGAUGAUCAUGAAAUGAGUUGAGUAUUAAGAUCAUAAUUAGCAUGUUCUAAUGUUAAUCUGUGUGAGGUGUUGAGUAUUAAGAUCAUAAUUAGGAUGUUCUAAUGUUAAUCUGUGUGAGGUGUUGAGUAUUAAGAUCAUAAUUAGGAUGUUCUAAUGUUCAUCUGUGUGAGGUGUUGAGUAUUAAGAUCAAAAUUAGGAUGUUCUAAUGUUCAUCUGUGUGAGGUGUUGAGUAUUAAGAUCAUAAUUAGGAUGUUCUAAUGUUAAUCUGUGUGAGGUGUUGAGUAUUAAGAUCAUAAUUAGGAUGUUCUAAUGUUAAUCUGUGUGAGGUGUUGAGUAUUAAGAUCAUAAUUAGGAUGUUCUAAUGUUAAUCUGUGUGAGGUGUUGAGUAUUAAGAUCAUAAUUAGGAUGUUCUAAUGUUAAUCUGUGUGAGGUGUUGAGUAUUAAGAUCAUAAUUAGGAUGUUCUAAUGUUAAUCUGUGUGAGGUGUUGAGUAUUAAGAUCAUAAUUAGGAUGUUCUAAUGUUAAUCUGUGUGAGGUGUUGAGUAUUAAGAUCAUAAUUAGGAUGUUCUAAUGUUAAUCUGUGUGAGGUGUUGAGUAUUAAGAUCAUAAUUAGGAUGUUCUAAUGUUAAUCUGUGUGAGGUGUUGAGUAUUAAGAUCAUAAUUAGGAUGUUCUAAUGUUAAUCUGUGUGAGGUGUUGAGUAUUAAGAUCAUAAUUAGGAUGUUCUAAUGUUAAUCUGUGUGAGGUGUUGAGUAUUAAGAUCAUGAUUAGGAUGUUCUAAUGUUAAUCUGUGUGAGGUGUUGAGUAUUAAGAUCAUGAUUAGGAUGUUCUAAUGUUAAUCUGUGUGAGGUGUUGAGUAUUAAGAUCAUAAUUAGGAUGUUCUAAUGUUAAUCUGUGUGAGGUGUUGAGUAUUAAGAUCAUGAUUAGGAUGUUCUAAUGUUAAUCUGUGUGAGGUGUUGAGUAUUAAGAUCAUGAUUAGGAUGUUCUAAUGUUAAUCUGUGUGAGGUGUUGAGUAUUAAGAUCAUGAUUAGGAUGUUCUAAUGUUAAUCUGUGUGAGGUGUUGAGUAUUAAGAUCAUAAUUAGGAUGUUCUAAUGUUAAUCUGUGUGAGGUGUUGAGCUGCUUUUCUCUUGAUUUAUUCCUCCUUCUCUUUC
This is a long non-coding RNA of Oncorhynchus keta (chum salmon), 2349 nucleotides long. RefSeq lists it as uncharacterized. NCBI's taxonomy places the organism in Eukaryota, Metazoa, Chordata, Actinopteri, Salmoniformes, Salmonidae. The transcript is spliced from 4 exons. The record is from RefSeq and is a predicted model, not a curated record.